GUACUUGGUGUUACUGCGAAGGGGGGACGGAGAAGGCUAUGUUGGCCGGGCGACGGUUGUCCCGGUUUAAGCGUGUAGGCUGGUUUUCCAGGCAAAUCCGGAAAAUCAAGGCUGAGGCGUGAUGACGAGGCACUACGGUGCUGAAGCAACAAAUGCCCUGCUUCCAGGAAAAGCCUCUAAGCAUCAGGUAACAUCAAAUCGUACCCCAAACCGACACAGGUGGUCAGGUAGAGAAUACCAAGGCGCUUGAGAGAACUCGGGUGAAGGAACUAGGCAAAAUGGUGCCGUAACUUCGGGAGAAGGCACGCUGACACGUAGGUGAAGUGAUUUACUCAUGGAGCUGAAGUCAGUCGAAGAUACCAGCUGGCUGCAACUGUUUAUUAAAAACACAGCACUGUGCAAACACGAAAGUGGACGUAUACGGUGUGACGCCUGCCCGGUGCCGGAAGGUUAAUUGAUGGGGUCAGCGCAAGCGAAGCUCCUGAUCGAAGCCCCGGUAAACGGCGGCCGUAACUAUAACGGUCCUAAGGUAGCGAAAUUCCUUGUCGGGUAAGUUCCGACCUGCACGAAUGGCGUAAUGAUGGCCAGGCUGUCUCCACCCGAGACUCAGUGAAAUUGAACUCGCUGUGAAGAUGCAGUGUACCCGCGGCAAGACGGAAAGACCCCGUGAACCUUUACUAUAGCUUGACACUGAACAUUGAGCCUUGAUGUGUAGGAUAGGUGGGAGGCUUUGAAGUGUGGACGCCAGUCUGCAUGGAGCCGACCUUGAAAUACCACCCUUUAAUGUUUGAUGUUCUAACGUGGACCCGUAAUCCGGGUUGCGGACAGUGUCUGGUGGGUAGUUUGACUGGGGCGGUCUCCUCCUAAAGAGUAACGGAGGAGCACGAAGGUUGGCUAAUCCUGGUCGGACAUCAGGAGGUUAGUGCAAUGGCAUAAGCCAGCUUGACUGCGAGCGUGACGGCGCGAGCAGGUGCGAAAGCAGGUCAUAGUGAUCCGGUGGUUCUGAAUGGAAGGGCCAUCGCUCAACGGAUAAAAGGUACUCCGGGGAUAACAGGCUGAUACCGCCCAAGAGUUCAUAUCGACGGCGGUGUUUGGCACCUCGAUGUCGGCUCAUCACAUCCUGGGGCUGAAGUAGGUCCCAAGGGUAUGGCUGUUCGCCAUUUAAAGUGGUACGCGAGCUGGGUUUAGAACGUCGUGAGACAGUUCGGUCCCUAUCUGCCGUGGGCGCUGGAGAACUGAGGGGGGCUGCUCCUAGUACGAGAGGACCGGAGUGGACGCAUCACUGGUGUUCGGGUUGUCAUGCCAAUGGCACUGCCCGGUAGCUAAAUGCGGAAGAGAUAAGUGCUGAAAGCAUCUAAGCACGAAACUUGCCCCGAGAUGAGUUCUCCCUGAGACUUAGAGUCUCCUGAAGGAACGUUGAAGACGACGACGUUGAUAGGCCGGGUGUGUAAGCGCAGCGAUGCGUUGAGCUAACCGGUACUAAUGAACCGUGAGGCUUAACCUUACAACGCCGAAG
This 1516-nucleotide ribosomal RNA is filed under the name Salmonella enterica subsp. enterica serovar Kentucky. Its description in RNAcentral is "bacterial LSU rRNA". It matches the Rfam family "Bacterial large subunit ribosomal RNA", at positions 1441 to 2925 of the family's 2925-position model. The record is from RNAcentral. Lineage: Bacteria; Pseudomonadati; Pseudomonadota; Gammaproteobacteria; Enterobacterales; Enterobacteriaceae.